RNAcentral lists this long non-coding RNA (1091 nucleotides) under Ananas comosus (pineapple). Its description in RNAcentral is "long non-coding RNA (ACOM_LNC016169)". The record is from RNAcentral. Lineage: Eukaryota; Viridiplantae; Streptophyta; Magnoliopsida; Poales; Bromeliaceae.
AACUUCAAAUACCCCCCCAAGAUUUCUCACUAUCUCAUUUUAGUACCCCAUAGUUUAAAGUGUAUCAAAGUUAGUAUCCCGUGGUUUCGUACUUUCUCACUUUAGUACCUUGUAAUUUCAAGUGUAUCAAGUUAGUACCCUAUGGUUUCGCUCUUUCUCGCUUUAAUACCCUGUGAUUUAAUAUUUUGUUAAAUUAUAUACCCCGAAAUGAAUAAUAAAAAGAGAAAUUGAAACCACAGGGUACUAACUUGAUAUAAAAAUGAAACCACAAAGUACUAACUUGAUAUACUUAAAACCAUAGGGUACUAAAGUGAGAAAGUGUGAAACUACAGGGAGAUAUUUGAAGUUUUCCCUUUUUUAUUUAAUUUUAUAAAACUUAUUAUACAAACAUACAUAAAACAAAAUUUUAUAAUUUUUCCAAAUUAUAAUAAAAAUUUUGGAUAUAUAAACAACGAUCAAAAUUGAACAACGUCUUAAAAAAGAAUGAUUGGAUUCUUCAAUUUAAGAUCGGAGUUAUUGAUCUUUAUUUACACAGUUAAUAUAACUUUUCUAUUAAAAAUUCAGCCGAUUUUGAUUUUUGUACAUCAUUAAACUAGCAAGUAUUUCAUACCGGUAGUUAAAAAUUAUUAAUUUUGAAAUCUUUUGACCGUAAUAUAAAUAAUGUAAAAAAUUAUAAAAUUUGAUUUUCAAAAGUUUUAAAUACUCUAAAAAAUAUUUCACGGUAUGGAUCAUUAAUUUGGAAGCUCUAUCGUCGAAAAUUUUAUAUGAGUUAUUCAAUCUUUCAAAAUUUUUAAUUUAUUGUCCAAUUUUUCAAUUUAUUUAAUUUAAGUAAGUCAACAGCAUAUUGACUUUAAUUAACUAAUUAUUUAUUAUUUUAAUAAAUUUACAGUCAAAAGGAUUAAAUAAAGUAUAUUAAAUAAGUAUAUAAAGAUAAACAAUACAUUCAAAUCAAACAAAUUGAAAUAUUAAAUUAUUAAAUUAAAAUUUUGAAAGGUUGGAUAACCAAUUCAAAAUAAUUUAUAAUUUAGAUAAAUUCUGUAUGUUUUUAUCAUUUUUAUUUUAUUUAUUAUAUAAAAUUCCACUAGUAACUU